This 352-nucleotide non-coding RNA is filed under the name Clostridium sp. Its description in RNAcentral is "T-box sequence". It matches the Rfam family "T-box leader". Rfam says of the family: Uncharged tRNA acts as the effector for transcription antitermination of genes in the T-box leader family. The record is from RNAcentral. Lineage: Bacteria; Bacillati; Bacillota; Clostridia; Eubacteriales; Clostridiaceae.
AUAAAAUCGAUGAGCAGAAAGAGUAGAUAUGGGAGUUUAGUUAAAGCGAGCCUGGGGCGGUGGAAGCCGGGUACUGUAGCCUAUAUUGAAUGGGUCUGCGAGAUGAUAUGCGAACUUAUAGUAGCAUUUUCCGGGAGUCAGCCGUUACAAUGACAGGGUAUCGAUGUUAAUCUGUACCUGGUAAAGAGAAAUUUGCAUUUAGGUGGCAUAGCGAGUAAAACAUCUCGUCCUAAUUGGACUAGAUGUUUUUUUAUUUACUCUUUAAUUUGUAUGAGAAAAUAAAUAUAGAAUAUGCCUAUCUAAUAAUGUGAAUUUAAUAUGGGUGGCACCGCGGAGUCACUUCGUCCCAUUA